GACGAACGCUGGCGGCGUGCCUAAUACAUGCAAGUAGAACGCAGUUGCGAACGGGUGAGUAACGCGUAGGUAACUGCCUCAUAGCGGGGGAUAACUCUUGGAAACGAUAGCUAAUACCGCAUACUUUGAGAUGGACCUGCGUUUUAUUAGCUAGUUGGUGGGGUAAAGGCUCACCAAGGCGACGAUACAUAGCCGACCUGAGAGGGUGAUCGGCCACACUGGGACUGAGACACGGACCAGACUCCUACGGGAGGCAGCAGUAGGGAAUCUUCGGCAAUGGACGAAAGUCUGACCGAGCAACGCCGCGUGAGUGAAGAAGGGUUUCGGAUCGUAAGACUCUGUUGUUAGGGAAGCGGUAUCUAACCAGAAAGCCACGGCUAACUACGUGCCAGCAGCCGCGGUAAUAC
Molecule: ribosomal RNA, 407 nt
Filed under: uncultured bacterium
Lineage: Bacteria
Description: partial 16S ribosomal RNA
Rfam family: Bacterial small subunit ribosomal RNA
Source: RNAcentral